CACGUAGGGCGCGAGCGUUGUCCGGAUUUAUUGGGCGUAAAGAGCGUGUAGGCGGCCUGAAAGGUCAGCUGUGAAAACUCGAGGCUCAACCUCGAGACGUCGGUUGAAACCAUCUGGCUAGAGUCCGGAAGAGGAGAGUGGAAUUCCCGGUGUAGCGGUGAAAUGCGCAGAUAUCGGGAAGAACACCCGUGGCGAAGGCGGCUCUCUGGGACGGUACUGACGCUGAGACGCGAAAGCGUGGGGAGCGAACAGG
Molecule: ribosomal RNA, 253 nt
Filed under: uncultured bacterium
Lineage: Bacteria
Description: partial 16S ribosomal RNA
Rfam family: Bacterial small subunit ribosomal RNA
Source: RNAcentral